Molecule: long non-coding RNA, 810 nt
Organism: Equus caballus (horse)
Lineage: Eukaryota; Metazoa; Chordata; Mammalia; Perissodactyla; Equidae
Source: RefSeq, a predicted model, not a curated record
UCUAGAACCUUCACCUUAAGACCACAGAGAACUCAGCUUCUUGGAAGAGUAGCAAGGAGACUAAACCAGGAUGUGAGGGAAAUGGUGCUGGAGAGGACGAUCUGUCCCCAGACGGAGAGCCCCACCUCCCAGGCAUGGUGUCCAGAGGCUGGUGGGGAUGACAGUCUGACACCAGGUUCCUGACAUGCAAGGAUGGAUCACGACUAGAGGAAGUUGCAGCAGCUGGGGUGAUAGCGUGCCGGCCACUGCCACGGGAUCACCAGGCCGACAACUGCAGGAGGCACAGUUCCCAGCACAGUCCAUUUGAACGGCACCUGGGGCAAGACAUUUACUGUCCCUCGAAGCCCCAUGCACUUCCUUUAUUCGCUGAUCUUGCACCGGCCAGGCCUUGGGACUAACCCUGCUCAGUUCCCCUUCAUGAGAAAGACUGUCUUGGAUUCUGUGCUGCAGAUGUGGAAACCUCUGUACACACCACGCAUUAUAAUCAGAUAAAGCCCUGGACCCCGUGACGGAUGGCCACGGCAUACCAGCUGCUGUCCACUGACUUCUCUCACUGAGGCUCUUGUCCAGCAGAAGAACUGGGCAUGCUCAUGUUGGCAAGAAAAUGAACCUGAAAUGUGGAAUGUAUUCAGAGACUGGAAGGAGCGAGCCCUUUAUUUGCUUAAGGCUGCUUCCUUGCACCUGAUAUUAAUAAAUGAAAUGAAGGCUGAACAGUGUUUCAAACAACUAUACAAAUUGGAACAUGCUCGUCUAGUCAACAGAAGACGAAGAAAAUCCAGAAGUCGGCAAUAAAUAAACUGAAUAAGCUCA